UACGAAGGGGGCUAGCGUUGCUCGGAAUUACUGGGCGUAAAGCGCACGUAGGCGGCUUUCUAAGUCGGGGGUGAAAUCCUGGAGCUCAACUCCAGAACUGCCUUCGAUACUGGAGAGCUCGAGUCCGGGAGAGGUGAGUGGAACUGCGAGUGUAGAGGUGAAAUUCGUAGAUAUUCGCAAGAACACCAGUGGCGAAGGCGGCUCACUGGCCCGGUACUGACGCUGAGGUGCGAAAGCGUGGGGAGCAAACAGU
This 253-nucleotide ribosomal RNA is filed under the name uncultured bacterium. RNAcentral describes it as "partial 16S ribosomal RNA". It matches the Rfam family "Bacterial small subunit ribosomal RNA", at positions 524 to 776 of the family's 1533-position model. The record is from RNAcentral.